GUAUGAUAAGAGAGAACACCCCCUAAAUGAAUAUCCAACUAUACCUUCCACUAAGUCCAGCAAACUGUUCACAAGAUGCAUCUGCAAAACCAAAAUGUGUCUGGAAAUUUUGGAUACAAGAUUAAGGGAAGGGGCUAUACUGUUUCACAAUCUCAUAAUUGAGGGCAUUAGGCUAUUCUAAUACAGUGACAUGAUACAUAUAAGUGACAUUACAUAAAAAAGAAAGUGGAGAGCAUCCAGGUGGAGAAGAUGGGAUAUAUAUGCACCAAAGAAGCUCUCCAUCGACGUUUUACGAUUUGCUAGCAACAUGACAGGCAACCCGACUUGAGCUAAGGAAAAAUAACCUUAACAAAGGGGAAAAAAAACACCAUUGAACAAGGAGCGCACUGUCCAUCUACCCAAUGGUGAUUGAUAAAUAGAAAAAUCGAUUAGCCAGAUGAGGAUAUUUCAGUUUCUUGGCAGAACCGUAUUUUGCAGCACUCGCUUCUGAUUAACGGAGCAUUUGCUGUAACUGAAGCACUUGAUUCCUUUGCUCCGGAGGCAGCAUGUUAAUCUGUUCUGGGGUCAGACUCCUUACUUGCUGAAGAAGUGCCUGCUCCAUCUCUGGGGACAGUGCUCCUUGUCUAGGAGGCUGACUGCCCGGGCCCAUCUGUGCAGGGAAUGAUGGUGGCCCUGGGAGCUGUGUUCCUGAUGUAUUCUCUGGUAAGCUGGGAAUCCAAGGAGAUCCUCGAUCUGCUUGCAUUGAAUUUCCAACUUGAUUAUUGAACUCAGGCCCUAAGUGUGAACCUCCCCCCUGAUACAGUGGUGGUAACUGAUUUGGAAGGGGUGGCUGUCCCUGUGAAAAUGAAGACCCCAUGCUAGCUUGAGGUUUGUUACCAGAAUGAAACAUGGGUUGCAAAGGAUGUUGAGCACCAGAAUGCUGGAAACCCACAUUGGGCCCCAUUUGUGGUCCACACUGAUGAUGAAAGCUUGGAACAGAAGGUAGUCUAGCUUGGGGAGGCAAUGGUGGUUGCAAAGGCGGAUGAGCAAUUCCAGUUGUCCGUAAUGGCUGUUGCAACUGAGUGGAGACAGUAGGCAUUUGGGGUUGGUGGAGUGGCUGUGGCUGUGAAGCAGAAUGAAAAGGUGGAGGUAUAUUUGGAACUUGAGAGGAUUGCGGAACAGAAAUUGGGGUCACUUGUGGGUUUGGAUGUCCCUUUGCCAACUGUGGUGUCUGUAGAGGGUGUGAAGGCAUAGGCUGAGAUUGAAGACUUGGAGGAGAAACUGAAGUAGAAGACAUUGAUAUUGAAGGUUGAUUCUGAUGUUGCUUUCGCAUUGGAGGUUGGGUCUGCGAAGCAAGUGUUUGAUCCUGUAAAACUUGUCCAGCUAAUGAGCGUGCAGCCUGAAUGUUCGACUGCUGAGAUGGUUGUGAUGAUUGCUGAGGUGGUUGUGUUGCUGCAGGUUGAAUAUUUGGAAUCACUUGAGGAGGCUGCACCAUUCCAAGCAUAAUUUGUGCCUGAUCAAACAAGGCAGAUCAAGUAGCAUUGAGUGCGUGAUUAGAGGAGUAGUUUUAGAAUUGAAAGACAUAAGCUAAGCUACUCAAAGCUUAGUUGCUUGACUCCAUUUGUUAGUUUAGUAAUCCAUGUUCAAACUGCCAGGUGUGAGAACUGUGAAGCAGCGCGAUCUCAUCUAGAGAGCUACUGCCAAUAUGAUUAUGACUUAAGGUUUCAUGCACCCACCUUUAUCUACAACAAAUCUAAACGUAAUUUAAGUUUUUAUUAGGAAAAAAAAAUAAAAAAUAUAUAAUUCUCGUUAUAAUAGCAUAUAACUUGUAGAAUGUUCCUAAAUAUUACACAUUCUAUUAUACACAAUUCUUAACAAGAACAGCCAUGACAACCUAUUAAAAUUUCUUAAAUAAAUAUUUUAACUUUUUGAACAAUUUUGAGAAUGGUUUCAUUUACAAUUUAAGUCUAUAAAGAACUCCCUAAGAUUGAUCUCCACUUGUUUAGGCUUAUUUCACAAACAAGCCAAAUUUGAACAAUGACAGACUCAACUUGUUUAACAAAUAAACCAAACUGGAGCCUUAGAGCUUAUUUAAUACACGGGCUGAGACUAGGCAUGCCAAAGCUUAGCUAGAUUUGCUCAACUCUAUACAAUACUAACGUAAAUUAAGUAAAUCCUCAACUAAUGUAAUAGAUGCAGCAUCACAUAAAUCCACUGCACUGACCUAGUUGAUAAAAAAUCGUGGCAAAAUGGUGAAUACUAUUAACCUAUCAGUGCCGAACCUUAAACCAAGUAAGAUUACAAUUCAAAAGUAUAUCAUCUGUUGGUAUAAAUUUGGAUAUAAAGGCAGUCAUUCCCACACUAGAAAGCAAAACUGAAUGAAAAUAUAACUCCAUUUCUCUGGUCCUCACAGCUCCAGCUCCCCUUAGGAAAAGAAAGAGAGAAAAUGUACAAUAACUUUUGUAUUUUUCUAAUGAAACAAAUCAAGUCCUGGUUAAGAUUUCGCCCAUCAGAUAUGAAUUCGGCACAAAGGUCACUGAAACUUACUUAUGUUAUAGUGCCUAAGCAUCAACUGGCCACACAAUCAUAAGAAAGGCAAUGGUAAAGAUGUUAGAAUGUCAUAAUUAAUCACAAUUGAGGGUUUAAGUAUGACAAAUUAUCUAGAUUGAAUUCCCACAGGAACAACACCAAAUCUUAUAUAAAUUAAUUAUUAAAAGCCAUUUUGUGUUACAUUCAAAUCAUUAAUGAGGCACUUUAUGGCAUAUAAGAAUUGGAGAAAUAAAACAUUAGUAUUAAUAAUUAAAAGCCAUUUGGUGUUACAUUCAAAUCAUUAAUGAGGCACUUUAUGGCAUAUAAGAAUUGGAGAAAUAAAACAUUAGUAUUAAUAAUUAAAAGCCAUUUG
This 2881-nucleotide unclassified non-coding RNA is filed under the name Hevea brasiliensis (rubber tree). Lineage: Eukaryota; Viridiplantae; Streptophyta; Magnoliopsida; Malpighiales; Euphorbiaceae. The record is from RNAcentral.